This 368-nucleotide ribosomal RNA is filed under the name uncultured eukaryote. RNAcentral's name for it is "partial 18S ribosomal RNA". It matches the Rfam family "Eukaryotic small subunit ribosomal RNA", at positions 592 to 976 of the family's 1831-position model. The record is from RNAcentral.
CAGUAGCGUAUAUUAAAGUUGUUGCAGUUAAAAUGCUCGUAGUUGAAGUUCGGAUGCAGCAGAGCUUGGAAACGCUGUUAUGGUGCUUCCGUUGCUUUUGCUUGUCCACAGUGCGUUGCAAGUACGUAUGUGCUUGUGCGUGCAUUUUACUUUGAGAAACAUAGGGUGUUCCACGCAUGUUACGGCAUGAAUAUUCCAGCCUGGGAUAAUCUGGUACGACUUCCAAUCUGCCAUUUUGGUUCGUAGGUUGGAAGUAAUGAUUAAUAGGGACUGUCGGGGGCAUUGGUAUUUGACUGUCAGAGGUGAAAUUCUUAGAUUCGUUGAGGACCAACCACUGCGAAAGCAUUUGUCAAGGAUGUCUCCAUUAA